AUCAUUCACAAUGGGGGAAACCCUGAUGGUGCGACGCCGCGUGAAGGAAGAAGGCUUUCGGGUUGUAAACUUCUUUUGUCAGGGAAGAGCAGAAGACGGUACCUGACGAAUAAGCCACGGCUAACUACGUGCCAGCAGCCGCGGUAAUACGUAGGUGGCAAGCGUUGUCCGGAUUUACUGGGUGUAAAGGGCGUGUAGCCGGGGAGACAAGUCAGAUGUGAAAUCUGGAGGCUCAACCUCCAAACUGCAUUUGAAACUGUUUCUCUUGAGUAUCGGAGAGGUAAUCGGAAUUCCUAGUGUAGCGGUGAAAUGCGUAGAUAUUAGGAAGAACACCAGUGGCGAAGGCGGAUUACUGGACGACAACUGACGGUGAGGCGCGAAAGCGUGGGGAGCAAACA
RNAcentral lists this ribosomal RNA (398 nucleotides) under uncultured bacterium. RNAcentral's name for it is "bacterial SSU rRNA". It matches the Rfam family "Bacterial small subunit ribosomal RNA", at positions 361 to 774 of the family's 1533-position model. The record is from RNAcentral.